GAUGAACGCUGACAGAAUGCUUAACACAUGCAAGUCUUUGGCGAAGCUGUGCUUGCACAGCCUAGCCAAGGCGGACGGGUGAGUAACGCGUAAGGAACUUGCCCUGCAGUCAGGGAUAACAGACGGAAACGACUGAUAAGACCUGGUAAAGUCAGGCGGACUCAUGUCCAGCCUGAUGAAAAGAGAUGCUGCAGGAGAGCCUUGCGUCCUAUUAGCUUGUUGGUGGGGUAACGGCCCACCAAGGCGAUGAUAGGUAGCCGGCCUGGGAGGGUGGACGGCCACAAGGGGACUGAGAUACGGCCCUUACUCCUACGGGAGGCAGCAGUGGGGAAUAUUGGACAAUGGGGGCAACCCUGAUCCAGCAAUUCUGUGUGCAAGAUGAAGGUUUUCGGAUUGUAAAGUGCUUUCAGCAGGGAAGAAAAAAAUGACGGUACCUGCAGAAGAAGCGACGGCUAAAUACGUG
RNAcentral lists this ribosomal RNA (463 nucleotides) under uncultured bacterium. RNAcentral's name for it is "partial 16S ribosomal RNA". It matches the Rfam family "Bacterial small subunit ribosomal RNA", at positions 28 to 507 of the family's 1533-position model. The record is from RNAcentral.